GGGGAUUUAGCUCAGCAGCAUGAGCGCCUGCUUUGCAAGCAGGUGGUCGUGAGUUCUAUCCCCG
Molecule: transfer RNA, 64 nt
Filed under: Cavia porcellus (domestic guinea pig)
Lineage: Eukaryota; Metazoa; Chordata; Mammalia; Rodentia; Caviidae
Rfam family: tRNA
About the family: Transfer RNA (tRNA) molecules are approximately 80 nucleotides in length. Their secondary structure includes four short double-helical elements and three loops (D, anti-codon, and T loops).
Source: Rfam by way of RNAcentral